This 1039-nucleotide long non-coding RNA is filed under the name Callithrix jacchus (white-tufted-ear marmoset). RNAcentral describes it as "lncRNA (ENSCJAG00000072062.1)". The record is from RNAcentral. Lineage: Eukaryota; Metazoa; Chordata; Mammalia; Primates; Cebidae.
ACUAUCAAAAGAAAAAUAUUUUUCUCUGCUCCUAGAAAGUGACUACUGAGAGUUUUAAUGCACUUCUGCAUGCCUGACGUGUUUCUGCACCAUUCUUGAUGAGAGGAGUGCUGUUAUCAUCAUCAUUGUAUGAUUGAAGACAUCCAGGUGUUGGAACAGAGAAGUGAGAAAACCAACUGGGUCUGCAGCCUGCACUGGGAUCAGGCCCUUCCCGGAACCACUCGGCCCAGGGUAGGGCUGCGCAGGUUCAGUUCUGCCACGCAAAUUCGGAACCCACUUCUUCCCCAAGAGGGUGAAGAAAAGCAUGUCAGCCUCAACAUCCUGUCCUGUUCUUCAGCAAUUCCUGCUACUUUCUUCCUCAACCCCAUCCGCUCUAAUACCUUGCUCAAGGAGGAGAGAAUAUGGACACAUGGAGCUUUGGAAGCCAAGUGUAUGCCUGGUGGAGGGAUGACAUGAGCUGAAGGAAGAAGUGGGAAAUGUUCGCGCCAAGGGCUUGAGACAGUUAGCGUGACUCACCACAUCUUGGCUGCUGGACCUAUCUGCUCUCCCCCAGCUCUUGAGGGCUGUUGAGUCGAGGUAAAAAUGGCUAAGCCACUGAGGCAAAAACAGAAUGCAGAGUAAGGGCCUGCGGUUUAUGAGGACAUUGUGCUGACUGCUUUCAUAUCCCCUUUAGUCUCUGUGUAAGCAAUGGGCUUGCUGCAAUUGAGAUGCCUGAGAGGGGCAAAGACCCCUGCCCAUAUUUUCUCAGGAGCUGAGCUUCUGUUCUACCUCCUGAUGGAAAACAUGAUUAACAAGCCACCUUAAGGGCACCAUUGUUUGCACUGUGUAUCUUUGAAAAACAUAUAUUAACUUUUAAACUGCUUUGUAAGCUAUUAUCACAAGUCCCCUUAAAACUGCUUUGUGAGCUGUUAUCACAAGCCCCUGAUAACUAUUUUUACGUGAUUUCUGUUCCCUUUUCUGUUUGCCCCCUUUUCUGCUGAGCUAAAGUAAAUGUAACAAGAAAAAAGGUAUAAAAGCUGUAACACACAAAAAUAAAGCU